Molecule: ribosomal RNA, 497 nt
Filed under: uncultured bacterium
Lineage: Bacteria
Description: partial 16S ribosomal RNA
Rfam family: Bacterial small subunit ribosomal RNA
Source: RNAcentral
GAUGAACGCUGGCGGCGUGCCUAAUACAUGCAAGUUGAGCGCUGAAGGUUGGUACUUGUACCGACUGGAUGAGCAGCGAACGGGUGAGUAACGCGUGGGGAAUCUGCCUUUGAGCGGGGGACAACAUUUGGAAACGAAUGCUAAUACCGCAUAAAAACUUUAAACACAAGUUUUAAGUUUGAAAGAUGCAAUUGCAUCACUCAAAGAUGAUCCCGCGUUGUAUUAGCUAGUUGGUGAGGUAAAGGCUCACCAAGGCGAUGAUACAUAGCCGACCUGAGAGGGUGAUCGGCCACAUUGGGACUGAGACACGGCCCAAACUCCUACGGGAGGCAGCAGUAGGGAAUCUUCGGCAAUGGACGAAAGUCUGACCGAGCAACGCCGCGUGAGUGAAGAAGGUUUUCGGAUCGUAAAACUCUGUUGGUAGAGAAGAACGUUGGUGAGAGUGGAAAGCUCAUCAAGUGACGGUAACUACCCAGAAAGGGACGGCUAACUACGUG